Rhinopithecus roxellana (golden snub-nosed monkey) is the source of this 2277-nucleotide RNA transcript. It is a transcript of the gene named oxysterol-binding protein-related protein 9 pseudogene, with no coding region annotated. Lineage: Eukaryota; Metazoa; Chordata; Mammalia; Primates; Cercopithecidae. The record is from RefSeq and is a predicted model, not a curated record. The transcript has a single exon.
UGGCGGCUCCCAAGAUGGCGUCCAUCAUGGAAGGGCCACUGAGCAAAUGGACUAACGUGAUGAAGGGCUGGCAGUACCAUUGGUUCGUGCUGGACUACAAUGCAGGACUGCUCUCCUACUACACGUCCAAGGACAAAAUGAUGAGAGACUCUCGCAGAGGAUGUGUUAGACUCAGAGGAGCUGUGAUUGGUAUAGACGAUGAGGACGACAGCACCUUCGCAAUAACUGUUGAUCAGAAAACCUUCCAUUUCCAGGCUCGUGAUGCUGAUGAUCGAGAGAAGUGGAUCCAUGCCUUAGAAGAAACGAUUCUUCGACAUACUCUUCAGCUUCAAGGUUUGGAUUCAGGAUUUGUUCCUAGUGUCCAAGAUUUUGAUAAGAAACUUACAGAAGCUGAUGCUUACCUACAAAUCUUGAUUGAACAAUUAAAGCUUUUUGAUGACAAGCUUCAAAACUGCAAAGAAGAUGAACAGAGAAAGAAAAUUGAAACUCUCAAAGAGACAACAAAUAGCAUGGUAGAAUCAGUUAAACACUUCAUUGUGUUGCUGCAGAUUGCCAAAGACCAGAGUAAUGUGGAGAAGCACGCAGAUGGAAUGAUAAGUACUAUUAAUCCUGUAGAUGCAAUAUAUCAACCGAGUCCUUUGGAACCUGUGAUCAGCACAAUGCCUUCCCAGACUGUGUUACCUCCAGAACCUGUUCAGUUGUGUAAGUCAGAGCAGCGUCCAUCUUCCCUCCCAGUUGGACCUGUGUUGGCUACAUUGGGACAUCAUCAGACUCCUACACCAAAUAGUACAGGCAGUGGCCAUUCACCACCGAGUAGCAGUCUCACUUCUCCAAGCCAUGUGAACUUGUCUCCAAAUACAGUCCCAGAGUUCUCUUACUCCAGCAGUGAAGAUGAAUUUUAUGAUGCCGAUGAAUUCCAUCAAAGUGGCUCAUCCCCAAAGCGCUUAAUAGAUUCUUCUGGAUCUGCCUUGGUCCUGACACACAGCAGCUCGGGAAAUAGUCUGAAACGCCCAGAUACCACAGAAUCACUUAAUUAUUCCACGUCCAAUGGAAAAAGUGAUGCUGACCUUUUCGAUUCACAUGAUGACAGAGAUGAUGAUGCGGAGGCAGGGUCUGUGGAGGAGCACAAAAGUGUUAUCAUGCAUCUUUUGUCACAGGUUAGGCUUGGAAUGGAUCUUACUAAGGUAGUUCUUCCAAUGUUUAUUCUUGAAAGAAGAUCUCUUUUAGAAAUGUAUGCAGACUUUUUUGCACAUCCGGACCUAUUUGUGAGUAUUAGUGACCAGAAGGAUCCCAAGGAUCGAAUGGUUCAGGUUGUGAAAUGGUACCUCUCAGCCUUUCAUGCAGGAAGGAAAGGAUCAGUUGCCAAAAAGCCAUACAAUCCCAUUUUGGGCGAGAUUUUUCAGUGUCAUUGGACAUUACCAAAUGAUACUGAAGAGAACACUGAACUAGUUUCAGAAGGACCAGUUCCCUGGGUUUCCAAAAACAGUGUAACAUUCGUGGCUGAGCAGGUUUCCCAUCAUCCACCCAUUUCAGCCUUUUAUGCUGAGUGUUUUAACAAGAAGAUACAAUUCAAUGCUCAUAUCUGGACCAAAUCAAAAUUCCUUGGGAUGUCAAUUGGGGUGCACAACAUAGGGCAGGGCUGUGUCUCAUGUCUAGACUAUGAUGAACAUUACAUUCUCACAUUCCCCAAUGGCUAUGGAAGGUCUAUCCUCACAGUGCCCUGGGUGGAAUUAGGAGGAGAAUGUAAUAUUAAUUGUUCCAAAACAGACUAUAGUGCAAAUAUCAUCUUCUACACUAAACCCUUCUAUGGGGGCAAGAAGCAUAGAAUUACUGCUGAGAUUUUUUCUCUAAAUGACAAGAAGUCUUUUUGCUCAAUUGAAGGGGAAUGGAAUGGUGUGAUGUAUGCAAAAUAUGCAACAGGGGAAAAUACAGUCUUUGUAGAUACCAAGAAGUUGCCUAUAAUCAAGAAGAAAGUGAGGAAGUUGGAAGAUCAGAAUGAGUAUGAAUCCCGCAGCCUUUGGAAGGAUGUCACUUUCAACUUAAAAAUCAGAGACAUUGAUGCAGCAACUGAAGCAAAGCACAGGCUUGAAGAAAGACAAUGAGUAGAAGCCCGAGAAAGGAAGGAGAAGGAGAUUCAGUGGGAGACAAGGUUAUUUCAUGAAGAUGGAGAACGCUGGGUUUAUGAUGAACCAUUACUGAAACGUCUUGGUGCUGCCAAGCAUUAGGUUGGAAGAUGCAAAGUUUAUACCUGAUGAUCAGGGCAGUAGGCAUAAUUCA